Molecule: ribosomal RNA, 492 nt
Filed under: uncultured bacterium
Lineage: Bacteria
Description: partial 16S ribosomal RNA
Rfam family: Bacterial small subunit ribosomal RNA
Source: RNAcentral
AUUGAACGCUGGCGGCAUGCUUUACACAUGCAAGUCGAACGGUAACAGGCCUUCGGGUGCUGACGAGUGGCGAACGGGUGAGUAAUGCAUCGGAACGUACCCAGUGGCGGGGGAUAACGCAGCGAAAGCUGUGCUAAUACCGCAUGUGAUCUGAGGAUGAAAGCGGGGGACCGAGCAGCAAUGUUUGGCCUUGCGCCUUUGGAGCGGCCGAUGUCGGAUUAGCUAGUUGGUGGGGUAAAGGCCUACCAAGGCGACGAUGCGUAGCUGGUCUGAGAGGACGACCAGCCACACUGGGACUGAGACACGGCCCAGACUCCUACGGGAGGCAGCAGUGGGGAAUUUUGGACAAUGGGCGCAAGCCUGAUCCAGCAAUGCCGCGUGCGGGAAGAAGGCCUUCGGGUUGUAAACCGCUUUUGGCAGGAACGAAACGGUGUCCGCUAAUACCGGGCGCUAAUGACGGUACCUGCAGAAUAAGCACCGGCUAACUACGUG